GACGAACGCUGGCGGCGUGCUUAACACAUGCAAGUCGAACGGAGUUACGUAUGAAGUAUUUCGGUACGGACUAUGUAACUUAGUGGCGAACGGGUGAGUAACACGUGGGCAACCUGCCCUUAACCGGGGGAUAACAUUGUGAAAACAGUGCUAAUACCGCAUAACAGAGUAUCGGGCAUCCGAUAUUUUUAAAAGGAGCAAUCCGGUUUAGGAUGGGCCCGCGUCCAAUUAGCUAGUUGGUGAGGUAACGGCUCACCAAGGCUACGAUUGGUAGCCGAACUGAGAGGUUGAUCGGCCACAUUGGGACUGAGACACGGCCCAGACUCCUACGGGAGGCAGCAGUGGGGAAUAUUGGGCAAUGGGCGAAAGCCUGACCCAGCGACGCCGCGUGAAGGAUGAAGGUCUUCGGAUUGUAAACUUCUUUGAUCAGGGAAGAAAGAAAUGACGGUACCUGAAGAACAAGCCACGGCUAAACUCGUAG
This 481-nucleotide ribosomal RNA is filed under the name uncultured bacterium. RNAcentral's name for it is "bacterial SSU rRNA". It matches the Rfam family "Bacterial small subunit ribosomal RNA", at positions 28 to 508 of the family's 1533-position model. The record is from RNAcentral.